AGUCCCGUAGUGUACAGCACACAAGAUUGCAAAUCUUCGAGAGCAGAAUGACAUCUGCCGGGGCUU
RNAcentral lists this transfer RNA (66 nucleotides) under Eurycea hillisi. Its description in RNAcentral is "tRNA-Cys". The record is from RNAcentral. Lineage: Eukaryota; Metazoa; Chordata; Amphibia; Caudata; Plethodontidae.